RNAcentral lists this ribosomal RNA (1952 nucleotides) under human gut metagenome. RNAcentral's name for it is "bacterial LSU rRNA". It matches the Rfam family "Bacterial large subunit ribosomal RNA", at positions 3 to 1991 of the family's 2925-position model. The record is from RNAcentral.
UUAAGCUAUAAAGAGCACAGGGCGGAUGCCUAGGCACUGAGAGCCGACGAAGGACGUGACAAGCUGCGAUAAGCUGCGGGGAGAAGCAAAUAUUCUGUGAGCCGCAGAUUUCCGAAUGGGGGAACCCACGUGAGCAAACCUCACGUAUCCAUACGCCAAUCCAUAACGUAUGGAAGGGAACCCGGGGAACUGAAACAUCUAAGUACCCGGAGGAAGAGAAAGAAACAUCGAUUUCCUUAGUAGCGGCGAGCGAAAGGGAAAGAGCCCAAACCGCGGGAUUUAUCCUGCGGGGUUAGGACUGCAUAAUUGAUUCGGGAUUGAUAGGAGAACGGUCUGGGAAGUCCGGCGAAAAAGCGUGAAAGCCGCGUAUCCGAAAUUGAAACCGACAUGGCAGUAUCCAGAGUACCACGAGACACGAGAAACCUUGUGGGAACGAGCGGAGACCACUCCGUAAGGCUAAAUACUACUCAGUGACCGAUAGCGCAUAGUACUGUGAAGGAAAGGUGAAAAGGACCCCGGGAGGGGAGUGAAAGAGAACCUGAAACCCUGUGUUUACAAGCUGUCGGAGCACUUUAAAUGUGCGACGGCGUACUUUUUGUAGAACGGUCCGGCGAGUUAUGGCAUGUGGUAAGGUUAAGUACUUCAGGUACGGAGCCGAAGCGAAAGCGAGUGUGAACAGCACGUAAGAAUCGCCUGCCAUAGACCCGAAACCGGGUGAUCUAUCCAUGUCCAGGAUGAAGCUGCCGUAAGAGGUAGUGGAGGUCCGAACACACAUCCGUUGAAAAGGGUGGUGAUGAGGUGUGGAUAGGGGAGAAAUUCCAAUCGAACCCGGAGAUAGCUGGUUCUCCUCGAAAUAGCUUUAGGGCUAGCCCCGUAACAGUCUUGCGGAGGUAGAGCACUGAAUUUCCUAGGGGGCGUCAAAGCCUACCGAAGAAUAUCAAACUGCGAAUGCCGUACAGAUGAUUUACGGGAGUCAGACUGCACGAGAUAAGUUGGGUGGUCAAAAGGGAAAGAGCCCAGACCCGCAGCUAAGGUCCCAAAGUGCGUGUUAAGUGGAAAAGGAUGUGGGAUUUCGAAGACAACCAGGAUGUUGGCUCAGAAGCAGCCACACAUUAAAAGAGUGCGUAAUAGCUCACUGGUCGAGAGGUCCUGCGCCGAAAAUGUCCGGGGCUGAAACACGACACCGAAGCUCGGGAAUCAGAAAUGAUUGGUAGAGGAGCAUUGAAGACGGAACGAAGCCAUACCGGAAGGAGUGGUGGACUGUCUUGAAGAGAGAAUGCCGGAAUGAGUAGCGAGAGAGAAGUGGGAAUCUUCUCGGCCGAAUAUCCAAGGUUUCCAGGGUAAAGCUGAUCUGCCCUGGGUAAGUCGGGGCCUAAGGCGAGGUCGGAAGACGUAGCCGAUGGACAACAGGUUGAAAUUCCUGUACUGUGAUAUAUCAGAACUGUGGGGACACAGCGGGAAGGCAUGGGCCGGAAAAGGAAAAUCCGGUGCAAGCACCAGAGGAGUAUGGCAGGCAAAUCCGCCAUGCAAUCCAAAAGUGUGAUGCGGAGCGAACAAAAGUAGCGAAGCAUGCUUACCGGCUGUCGAGAAAAGCCGCUAUUGCGUAUAUCACACCCGUACCGUAAACCGACACAGGUGGAUGAGGAGAGAAUCCUAAGGCCGGCGGGAGAAGCAUUGUUAAGGAACUCGGCAAAAUGACCCCGUAACUUCGGGAGAAGGGGUGCUCUUGAAAAAGAGCCGCAGAGAAUUGGCCCAAGCAACUGUUUAGCAAAAACACAGGUCUAUGCAAAACCGAAAGGUGAGGUAUAUGGGCUGACGCCUGCCCGGUGCUGGAAGGUUAAGAGGAGAGGUUAUCGUAAGAGAAGCCUUGAAUUUAAGCCCCAGUAAACGGCGGCCGUAACUAUAACGGUCCUAAGGUAGCGAAAUUCCUUGUCGGGUAAGUUCCGACCCGC